This 377-nucleotide ribosomal RNA is filed under the name Leptodactylus rhodomystax. Its description in RNAcentral is "partial 12S ribosomal RNA". Lineage: Eukaryota; Metazoa; Chordata; Amphibia; Anura; Leptodactylidae. The record is from RNAcentral.
CUUAAAAUCAAUUUUUUUUUAACUUACACAUGCAAGUAUCCGCACCCCUGUGAGAACGCCCUUAAACCCCUGAAGGGACAAGGAGCUGGUAUCAGGCACAAUUUUUAGCCCAAGACACCUAGCCAUGCCACACCCACAAGGGAACUCAGCAGUGAUUAACAUUGAAUUAUAAGCGACAGCUUGAUUCAGUUAAAAAAAGAAGAGCCGGCUAAUCUGGUGCCAGCCGCCGCGGUUACACCAUGUGGCUCAAAUUGACUUUGAUCGGCGUAAAGCGUGAUUUAAGAGACCUAUCCUUGGUGCCAAAAAGACACUAAGCCGUGACACGCUUGUAGUCGAGAAGACCUAAGACGAAAGAUACACCAAUUAAACCAACUUGA